CAUAUAAUCUUACUGCAUCUUUUUUUUGUAGUAUUUAAAUUUUUUUUUUUUUUUAUUAUAUGUUCUAUAGUGGUACUAUCAACAAGAAGAAAAAAAAACCUCGCAAUACUAUAAAUUCUAAAUUUUUAAAAAUUAGGAAAAGAAAAAGAGACGUUGAUGAAAUAUACAAUGACUACCAUGAAAAAGGAGCUCCUAAACAUGAUGAGGAUGAACAGUGCGGUGCACUAAUUAAAUGCUAUGCUUGUGAUAUCAUUUUUAUAAGUGAAAAAGCAAAGGAGCAGCAUGAGAAGACGAAAAAACAUAAGAGACGAAUCAAGAUGUUAACUAAAGAAACACCAUAUACCUAUAAAGAUGCCCUUAAAGCUGCAGAAAUAACACUUUAGUCUAUGCAUAUGCAUGCGCAUACACAUACAUAUACACAUGAGUGUUGAUAAUACGUUAUGUACAUAUGUAUACAUACACGCACAUAUAUAUAAGUUUAUAAAAAUAGCACUUUUUUUUUUUUUUAAACAUUUUUUAAAGAAACAAGUUUUGUUAGUUUUAAAAAUAAAUACAAAUUAUAUAUAGUGUCA
RNAcentral lists this long non-coding RNA (572 nucleotides) under Piliocolobus tephrosceles (Ugandan red Colobus). RNAcentral's name for it is "lncRNA (ENSPTEG00000003937.1)". The record is from RNAcentral. Lineage: Eukaryota; Metazoa; Chordata; Mammalia; Primates; Cercopithecidae.